This 253-nucleotide ribosomal RNA is filed under the name uncultured bacterium. RNAcentral describes it as "partial 16S ribosomal RNA". It matches the Rfam family "Bacterial small subunit ribosomal RNA", at positions 524 to 776 of the family's 1533-position model. The record is from RNAcentral.
UACGGGGGGAGCAAGCGUUGUUCGGAUUUACUGGGCGUAAAGGGCGCGUAGGCGGCGUGGCAAGUCACUUGUGAAAUCUCCGGGCUUAACUCGGAACGGUCAAGUGAUACUGCUGUGCUAGAGUGCGGAAGGGGCAACUGGAAUUCUUGGUGUAGCGGUGAAAUGCGUAGAUAUCAAGAGGAACACCUGCGGCGAAGGCGGGUUGCUGGGCCGACACUGACGCUGAUGCGCGAAAGCUAGGGGAGCGAACGGG